This is a long non-coding RNA of Pristis pectinata (smalltooth sawfish), 251 nucleotides long. RefSeq lists it as uncharacterized. Lineage: Eukaryota; Metazoa; Chordata; Chondrichthyes; Rhinopristiformes; Pristidae. The record is from RefSeq and is a predicted model, not a curated record. The transcript is spliced from 3 exons.
GAGGCACUGCCUCAGGUGAGGUGAUCAGCCAGUUCGGAUUAAGUUUCAAAAUAACAAAAAAGGAAAAGAGCCCGAAGCAAAAGUUUGGGCACCCUGCAUGGUCAGCACUUAGCAACACCCCCUUUGAGUGUUCUGGGGGCAGCCCACGAGAGUGUUGCCACGCUUCCGGCGCCAACAUAGCACACCCACAACUUCCUAGCCCGUACGUCUUUGGAAUGUGGGAGGAAACCGGAGCACCUGGAGGAAACCUA